UGGGGAAUAUUGGACAAUGGGCGAAAGCCUGAUCCAGCCAUGCCGCGUGUGUGAAGAAGGUCUUCGGAUUGUAAAGCACUUUAAGUUGGGAGGAAGGGCAGUAACUUAAUACGUUGCUGUUUUGACGUUACCGACAGAAUAAGCACCGGCUAACUCUGUGCCAGCAGCCGCGGUAAUACAGAGGGUGCAAGCGUUAAUCGGAAUUACUGGGCGUAAAGCGCGCGUAGGUGGUUUGUUAAGUUGGAUGUGAAAGCCUCGGGCUCAACCUGGGAACUGCAUUCAAAACUGACAAGCUAGAGUAUGGUAGAGGGUGGUGGAAUUUCCUGUGUAGCGGUGAAAUGCGUAGAUAUAGGAAGGAACACCAGUGGCGAAGGCGACCACCUGGACUGAUACUGACACUGAGGUGCGAAAGCGUGGGGAGCAAACA
This 427-nucleotide ribosomal RNA is filed under the name uncultured Pseudomonas sp. Its description in RNAcentral is "bacterial SSU rRNA". It matches the Rfam family "Bacterial small subunit ribosomal RNA", at positions 355 to 774 of the family's 1533-position model. Lineage: Bacteria; Pseudomonadati; Pseudomonadota; Gammaproteobacteria; Pseudomonadales; Pseudomonadaceae. The record is from RNAcentral.